GACGAACGCUGGCGGCGUGCUUAACACAUGCAAGUCGAACGGAAAGGCUCUGCUUUUGUGGGGUGCUCGAGUGGCGAACGGGUGAGUAACACGUGAGUAACCUGCCCUUGACUUUGGGAUAACUUCAGGAAACUGGGGCUAAUACCGGAUAGGAGCUCCUGCUGCAUGGUGGGGGUUGGAAAGUUUCGGCGGUUGGGGAUGGACUCGCGGCUUAUCAGCUUGUUGGUGGGGUAGUGGCUUACCAAGGCUUUGACGUGUAGCCGGCCUGAGAGGGUGACCGGCCACAUUGGGACUGAGAUACGGCCCAGACUCCUACGGGAGGCAGCAGUGGGGAAUAUUGCACAAUGGGCGGAAGCCUGAUGCAGCAACGCCGCGUGCGGGAUGACGGCCUUCGGGUUGUAAACCGCUUUCGCCUGUGACGAAGCGUGAGUGACGGUAAUGGGUAAAGAAGCACCGGCUAACUACGUG
RNAcentral lists this ribosomal RNA (468 nucleotides) under uncultured bacterium. RNAcentral's name for it is "partial 16S ribosomal RNA". It matches the Rfam family "Bacterial small subunit ribosomal RNA", at positions 28 to 507 of the family's 1533-position model. The record is from RNAcentral.